ACCAUUGCCCUUGAAGGAGACGGGGAGAUAAGACAGGGGAAAGGACAGUACACGGUGAAGUUUAUAAUGAGGCGAGGUAUAACCGGUCUGGAAGAAAACCAAACCAGUCCCAUUCACUCCUAGUCAAACAAGUAGGGCAAAACUGGUGCUCCCAGCAGCAGGAGAAUGGGGACUCUGGGUCUGGAUCUGGCCCUGAAUUUUAUUUUCCUCUACAGCAAGCACCCCAAACAGCAAGUCAGGACAUCUGAGUCUUUCAGCCAGAGCCAGGGUCUGAAUUUAGCAUUGCCUUCAAAAUAUACAGUACCAUGAUGCUGCUGUAUCACAGCAAGACAUUCAACCAGCUGGUCAUAAAAUGGAAUAUAUUUUUUAGAGAUAUGUACUGUUACCGAGUCUGAUUUUUUAGAGCUAAAUCAUAUUCCUCCCAUUUACCCCAUUACAAGCAUGUGCUCUGAAUAGUUCCAGAAAAGUUUUUUAAAUGCUCUAACCUAUGAAAUUAAAAUUAUAUCAACAUCUGCUAAGACAAGUGUGACUUUUUUACUGCAUUUAUUUCCUAGAGGAUUAUUUGGUGAUAUUGGGAUUGACUGUUCUCUAUUUAAUAUCCCAAAAUCUUUUCCAGGGUAAUGAGACAGGUAGCAAAACUUCUGAAAGACCAUAGUCAUUGUAUACUCUGCAAGCUUGGAUACAGAACACAGACAGACACCAGAAUUAACUUUCUGUUAGAGGAUUGCUCCCCCUGACUGCCCUCCUCAGUGAAUACCAUAUUCCCUGAAUAGCCACCAGAAACAGGCAGAAAUUUGGGAUUCUUCAUUCCUGGCCAUACGUUACAUCGGACAGCUCUGUAUGUUAUCAUGAUUCAUCAGGAUCCCAGAUGAUGACGUGGGAAAAGUACCUACAGAUAUUUGACCAUUAGCUCUCUCCAAAGCAAAGAGAUUUCAUUCAAAAUAUGCAGUUGAAGAUAUCUCCAGGACAACAUAUUUAAUGCUGAGAUACACUGGAAGAUCUCUGGAGUUCAAAAGGAGUCUUACACAGAGGACUGUGGGUCUUCGGUGUGUCUAUGUCUGGUGCAGCUGGGAGAAAGAACUGAGAACCUACAUCUCUGUACUGGAGAGAAUGACCCUGCACCAGGACUGAAAAGGACCAUAACAUCAUCCUCAUCUGUAAUGUCUGUACUACUGAGAUACUGAGGCUGAGGAAAUUGUUUAUCAAACUCAUAUUUCCAACAAACAUAUGUCUGUGAAGUAAAGCAGAGUUACUCCCUGAGGAUCUAAUAUUAAAAAAAUUCCCUGAAUAGAUUGUAGCUGUGUGUUUUCUACUAUCCCUCCCUAUAAAGUGGAGUAUGGAUUAGUAUGCACUAUUUAUAGA
Molecule: long non-coding RNA, 1362 nt
Filed under: Manacus vitellinus (golden-collared manakin)
Lineage: Eukaryota; Metazoa; Chordata; Aves; Passeriformes; Pipridae
Description: lncRNA (ENSMVIG00005018339.1)
Source: RNAcentral